UGGCGGCACAUCAGUUUAAGGCGCGUUGGCAGAGUGGCUAUGCAGCGGAUUGCAAAUCCGUGUACCUCGGUUCG
Molecule: transfer RNA, 74 nt
Filed under: Pantoea sp. Sc1
Lineage: Bacteria; Pseudomonadati; Pseudomonadota; Gammaproteobacteria; Enterobacterales; Erwiniaceae
Description: tRNA-Cys
Rfam family: tRNA (bases 20-74)
About the family: Transfer RNA (tRNA) molecules are approximately 80 nucleotides in length.
Source: RNAcentral